GACGAACGCUGGCGGCGUGCUUAACACAUGCAAGUCGAGCGGUAAGGCCCUUUCGGGGGUACGACGAGCGGCGAACGGGUGAGUAACACGUGGGUGACCUGCCCUCAGCUCUGGGAUAAGCCCGGGAAACUGGGUCUAAUACCGGAUAUGACUUCAUGACGCAUGUUGUGGAGUGGAAAGCCUUGUGCGGCUGAGGAUGGGCCCGCGGCCUAUCAGCUUGUUGGUGGGGUGAUGGCCUACCAAGGCGACGACGGGUAGCCGGCCUGAGAGGGCGACCGGCCACACUGGGACUGAGAUACGGCCCAGACUCCUACGGGAGGCAGCAGUGGGGAAUCUUGCGCAAUGGGCGAAAAGCCUGACGCAGCGACGCCGCGUGAGGGAUGACGGCCU
RNAcentral lists this ribosomal RNA (390 nucleotides) under uncultured bacterium. RNAcentral describes it as "bacterial SSU rRNA". It matches the Rfam family "Bacterial small subunit ribosomal RNA", at positions 28 to 417 of the family's 1533-position model. The record is from RNAcentral.